CUAACCUGUAGCCCCAUAGUCUUGGAAAAGUGGCUUUUCCACUGUUCCCACUGUCCUUCUGAUACCAUCACAAUAAGCUGGGCUUUUAAAAAACAAAAACCAGGAAUGUCUGUCAUCUUCAAAUAACUUCCAUUUUAGCCCCACAACUGAAGAAAACAGAUUCCAAACACAAAUGAGGACUCAAGCAGAGCCCUGCCACCCGAGCCAACUAUAUUCCUCCUUCUGCGAGCCUCGAACACUGGGUCUUCUGACAGCGAUGCUUUCCCCUUUUCCGGAGACACCAGUUCUGCAGCCUGGAGUCCCGUCACCCAGGACACUCCUUAACCCUCCUCACAGGACUCCCGAGGGCCUCUCACUUUCUGUCACUGGCUUGAUUAUUUUGUCUCAAGCCUACUUUCUCUAGUUCCACUCAGAUCAUUUGUUCCCCGGUGAGAGCACUCGCUCUUUGGCUCUUUGGUGUUGUUCAGAUUGUGGAACCAAGUCCCAUUUGAUCACG
This 496-nucleotide long non-coding RNA is filed under the name Mus caroli (Ryukyu mouse). Its description in RNAcentral is "predicted gene 12484 (MGP_CAROLIEiJ_G0005844.1)". Lineage: Eukaryota; Metazoa; Chordata; Mammalia; Rodentia; Muridae. The record is from RNAcentral.